GACGAACGCUGGCGGCGUGCUUAACACAUGCAAGUCGAACGCUGAAGCCCUUCGGGGUGGAUGAGUGGCGAACGGGUGAGUAACACGUGGGUAAUCUGCCCUGCACUCUGGGAUAAGCCUUGGGAACGGGGUCUAAUACCGGAUAGGACACAUCGCCGCAUGGUGUGUGUGUGGAAAGUUCCGGCGGUGCAGGUUGAGCCCGCGGCCUAUCAGCUUGUUGGUGGGGUGAUGGCCUACCAAGGCGACGACGGGUAGCCGGCCUGAGAGGGUGACCGGCCACACUGGGGGUGAGACACGGCCCAGACGCCUACGGGAGGCAGCAGUGGGGAAUCUUGCGCAAUGGGCGAAAGCCUGACGCAGCAACGCCGCGUGGGGGAUGACGGCCUUCGGGUUGUAAACCUCUUUCGACCGGGACGAAGGAUUCGUUUGACGGUACCGGUAGAAGAAGCACCGGCUAACUACGUGCCAGCCGCCGCAGUAA
RNAcentral lists this ribosomal RNA (481 nucleotides) under uncultured bacterium. Its description in RNAcentral is "partial 16S ribosomal RNA". It matches the Rfam family "Bacterial small subunit ribosomal RNA", at positions 28 to 523 of the family's 1533-position model. The record is from RNAcentral.